GACGAACGCUGGCGGCGUGCUUAACACAUGCAAGUCGAACGGAAAGGCCCUGCUUUUGUGGGGUGCUCGAGUGGCGAACGGGUGAGUAACACGUGAGUAACCUGCCCUGGACUUUGGGAUAACUUCAGGAAACUGGGGCUAAUACCGGAUAGGAGCGCCUGCUGCAUGGUGGGGGUUGGGAAGGUUCGGCGGUUGGGGAUGGACUCGCGGCGUAUCAGCUUGUUGGUGGGGUAGUGGCUUACCAAGGCUUUGACGGGUAGCCGGCCUGAGAGGGUGACCGGCCACAUUGGGACUGAGAUACGGCACAGACUCCUACGGGAGUCAGCAGUGGGGAAUAUUGCACAAUGGGCGGAAGCCUGAUGCAGCCACGCCGCGUGCGGGAUGACGGCCUUCGGUUUGUAAACCGCUUUCGCCUGUGACGAAGCGUGAGUGACGGUAAUGGGUAAAGAAGCACCGGCUAACUACGUG
This 468-nucleotide ribosomal RNA is filed under the name uncultured bacterium. Its description in RNAcentral is "partial 16S ribosomal RNA". It matches the Rfam family "Bacterial small subunit ribosomal RNA", at positions 28 to 507 of the family's 1533-position model. The record is from RNAcentral.